AUUGAACGCUGGCGGUAUGCUUAAGACAUGCAAGUCGAACGGUAACAGACCUUCGGGUGCUGACGAGUGGCGGACGGGUGAGUAACACGUGGGAAUCUACCUUGUAGUGGGGGAUAAGCCAGGGAAACUUGGACUAAUACCGCAUACGCCCUAAGGGGGAAAGGAGCAAUUCGCUAUAAGAUGAGCCCGCGUCUGAUUAGCUAGUUGGUGAGGUAAAGGCUCACCAAGGCGACGAUCAGUAGCUGGUCUGAGAGGAUGACCAGCCACAUUGGGACUGAGACACGGCCCAGACUCCUACGGGAGGCAGCAGUCGGGAAUAUUGGACAAUGGGGGCGAACCCUGAUCCAGCAAUACCGCGUGUGUGAAGAAGGCCUGCGGGUUGUAAAGCACUUUUAGUAGGGAAGGAUAAUGACGUUACCUACAGAAAAGACACCGGCUAACUCCGUG
RNAcentral lists this ribosomal RNA (447 nucleotides) under uncultured bacterium. RNAcentral's name for it is "bacterial SSU rRNA". It matches the Rfam family "Bacterial small subunit ribosomal RNA", at positions 30 to 507 of the family's 1533-position model. The record is from RNAcentral.